GCCUGACUGGCUCAGUAGGUGGAGCGUGCAACUUUUGAUUUUGGGGUUGUGGGUUUGAACCCCACGUUGUGUG
This 73-nucleotide transfer RNA is filed under the name Ailuropoda melanoleuca (giant panda). It matches the Rfam family "tRNA". From Rfam's summary of the family: Transfer RNA (tRNA) molecules are approximately 80 nucleotides in length. Their secondary structure includes four short double-helical elements and three loops (D, anti-codon, and T loops). Lineage: Eukaryota; Metazoa; Chordata; Mammalia; Carnivora; Ursidae. The record is from Rfam by way of RNAcentral.